GUAUUUUGACCGUGCAAAGGUAGCGCAAUCACUUGUCUUUUAAAUGAAGACCUGUAUGAAUGGUGGAACGAGGGCUUAACUGUCUCCCCCUUCUAGUCAAUGAAAUUGAUCUACCCGUGCAGAAGCGGGUAUAAUAAUACAAGACGAGAAGACCCUUUGGAGCUUAAGAUAAAAGACCAACUAUGUCAAAAGUCCUAAAAAAGACUAAACCAAAUAGUACUAGUCCUAAUCUUCGGUUGGGGUGACCACGGGAGAAAACAAAGCUCCCAUGCGGAUUGGGGUAAUUCCCUAAAACUGAGAGAGACAUCUCUAAGACGCAGAACAUCUGACCAUAAAGAUCCGGCUACAUGCCGACCAACGGACCAAGUUACCCUAGGGAUAACAGCGCAAUCCCCUUCCAGAGUCCAUAUCGACCAAGGGGGUUUACGACCUCGAUGUUGGAUCAGGACAUCCU
This 454-nucleotide ribosomal RNA is filed under the name Hypostomus ericae. RNAcentral's name for it is "partial 16S ribosomal RNA". It matches the Rfam family "Bacterial large subunit ribosomal RNA", at positions 1936 to 2548 of the family's 2925-position model. Lineage: Eukaryota; Metazoa; Chordata; Actinopteri; Siluriformes; Loricariidae. The record is from RNAcentral.